AACCAGCACCUCAAGUGGUCAGGAUGAUUAUUGGGCCUAAAGCAUCCGUAGCCGGCUCUGUAAGUUUUCGGUUAAAUCUGUACGCUCAACGUACAGGCUGCCGGGAAUACUGUAGAGCUAGGGAGUGGGAGAGGUAGACGGUACUCGGUAGGAAGGGGUAAAAUCCUUUGAUCUAUUGAUGACCACCUGUGGCGAAGGCGGUCUACCAGAACACGUCCGACGGUGAGGGAUGAAAGCUGGGGGAGCAAACCGGAUUAGAUACCCGGGUAGUCCCAGCUGUAAACUAUGCAAACUCAGUGAUGCAUUGGCUUGUGGCCAAUGCAGUGCUGCAGGGAAGCCGUUAAGUUUGCCGCCUGGGAAGUACGUACGCAAGUAUGAAACUUAAAGGAAUUGGGCGGGGAGCACCACAAGGGGUGAAGCCUGCGGUUC
RNAcentral lists this ribosomal RNA (429 nucleotides) under uncultured archaeon. RNAcentral's name for it is "bacterial SSU rRNA". It matches the Rfam family "Archaeal small subunit ribosomal RNA", at positions 474 to 903 of the family's 1478-position model. The record is from RNAcentral.